CAGGGGGCGGGGUUUAUUUGUGUCCGGCGAGGUCCGCCUGCCUGCAGGGGAUUGGGUGAGAGCGGGAAGGAACUGACCAAUGAACGCCGUGGGCCGGGCCGAACAAAAGGGGCGGGACAGCGGCCUGUUCAAACCGGUGGCGGCGGCCGGGCUCGAGCGCGGGGAGCGCGCCGGGCUGGUGAACCUGCCUGGUGCGAUGCAAGCAAAUGAGUUUGACUCAUCUGAUGAAGAGCCUAUUCAAGAUGAUCAGAUACCAUUUCAGAUAUCAUGGUUAGCCCUGUCAUCUGUCUAUUGUUCUCAGUUUCUGGGAGUAUGUUCUCUGCCAGGUAUGUAGCACUGGUUUUAGAAAUUUAGUAGAAAGCAUGGUUAAAGCUAGGAGGAAAUUAUGCUGUCUCCAAAGAUCUCUCUAAACCUUACUCGCUUAGUGGAGUGAUACACAUGUCUUCUGAGCACACAAUAUUGGAAAGAGUGGAGGUAUCAGAUCUCUUGGUUUGAUGCCUGAGACUGUUUUGCCUAAUCCAGAAGAAGUGAUGAAAGGUAACUGCUGACAACCUAGUAUGCUUUCCAAAUUGGAGUACAUUUUAUGAUUGUAAAUGGCAAUGCAAGCCCAUGAAAUGGGACAACUCUGACAAAGCUAAAUUUUUCCACUAUAAGGAAUGUCAAACUAAAGAUCGCAUCUGAAAAAUCCUACACUGUUACAUUCUAAAAAUGUAAAAUAUUAGUAAAGUAUUUCAUGUGUUUUAACCACUUGUGUUUUUUAGUGCUUGUAUUUCACCCAGUUUGGAAUCAAUUAUCACUGUCUCAUUCUCAUGCACUAGCAUUCUGUUGUAAUGUUGGGUUGCAAAUGCCAAAAUGGGUAUUUAAUUCCAAACAGAAUUUCAUUGACACUUUAAACACAUGUGUUUAACACUUUUUUUANUAUUUGGUUGAUGCAGACUUGACACGGCAGAAGCACAAGUCAUAAAAACACACUAUUCUGAAU
This 982-nucleotide long non-coding RNA is filed under the name Gopherus agassizii (Agassiz's desert tortoise). RNAcentral's name for it is "lncRNA (ENSGAGG00000025876.1)". The record is from RNAcentral. Lineage: Eukaryota; Metazoa; Chordata; Testudines; Testudinidae.